Ictalurus punctatus (channel catfish) is the source of this 445-nucleotide long non-coding RNA. RefSeq lists it as uncharacterized. The transcript is spliced from 3 exons. The record is from RefSeq and is a predicted model, not a curated record. Lineage: Eukaryota; Metazoa; Chordata; Actinopteri; Siluriformes; Ictaluridae.
CACACACACACACACACACACACUCACGCACACAGUCAUUAAUUUUGGGAAGACACUGUCAGUAUCUGUCUACGCAAGCUCUCUGGAACUGCCUGUGCAGUAACUUUGUGCAGCAUCAUGGAGGUCACCCCAUCUGUGCCAGAUAGUGUGGUGUCUUAAUGCACAUCACCUUCUAACCAAUCAGAAUCCAGUAUUGAGACUGACCAUGGACUCGGCGGUGAUGAAACAGACUCUGCUUGCCUGUGAGUGGGUGGAGGAGAACAGACCCCACUUUGCUGGGAAAGUUCACUUACCACGGAUCAUGAGGAUGAACGAGGAUGAUGCCUUGUUGGCCAUCACAAUGCAGGACCUGUUUAUCAACACUAUUUUUUAUGAAAGUGAAAUGGACGAACAGAAAAUCCGGGCUCCCUUCCUUUUCACCUUCGAGAGAUUAGAGGAUAUGGAG